UAGCCCAGAAGUGAUAACAAUAAAGGAA
Molecule: non-coding RNA, 28 nt
Filed under: Homo sapiens (human)
Lineage: Eukaryota; Metazoa; Chordata; Mammalia; Primates; Hominidae
Source: RNAcentral